UAAAUUUUGCCACUUUGUUUUCGUCU
Molecule: non-coding RNA, 26 nt
Filed under: Mus musculus (house mouse)
Lineage: Eukaryota; Metazoa; Chordata; Mammalia; Rodentia; Muridae
Source: RNAcentral